UACGUAGGGGGCAAGCGUUAUCCGGAUUUACUGGGUGUAAAGGGAGCGUAGACGGCAAUACAAGUCGGAAGUGAAAUACCCGGGCUCAACCUGGGAACUGCUUUGGAAACUGUAUGGCUGGAGUGCUGGAGAGGUAAGCGGAAUUCCUAGUGUAGCGGUGAAAUGCGUAGAUAUUAGGAGGAACACCAGUGGCGAAGGCGGCUUACUGGACAGUAACUGACGUUGAGGCUCGAAAGCGUGGGGAGCAGACAGG
Molecule: ribosomal RNA, 253 nt
Filed under: uncultured bacterium
Lineage: Bacteria
Description: partial 16S ribosomal RNA
Rfam family: Bacterial small subunit ribosomal RNA
Source: RNAcentral